This 690-nucleotide unclassified non-coding RNA is filed under the name Hevea brasiliensis (rubber tree). The record is from RNAcentral. Lineage: Eukaryota; Viridiplantae; Streptophyta; Magnoliopsida; Malpighiales; Euphorbiaceae.
CAACUGGGAAUUGGUCCAAAACCAUCACUAAAGAACUCCCUAUAAGCAAGCCCAAGACCAUUUUGGCUGCUCCCAGAAGGGUAACACACCCACCACUCCUACCUCCAAACUUGUACUGACCAGCAAGGCCUCCUGCACCAUGGCAACAGGGCAUGGCCCCAAACCAACAUCCCACUAAGUUCAUUAGGCCUACAGUCACUGAAAGAGAGGUAGCAGAGAAGUCCUUGCCUGGAAAAAGAUCAGCUGACAGCUUACACACAGCAAUGACAGAAUUUAGAAUUGAUAAAGGAAGUUGAGGAAUUGUGCCCUUGAUAAACCCUUCUUUCCAAGCAUGCUUGGAGAUUUUCACCGCCUGAAUAGAAGAUGGUCCUAAUUUAAUAUCCUGCACCACUUUAGGCCUCCUUAUAAUUGCCAAAACCACACCCAGCAAGAAGACCAUAAAAGCAGAGGGAAGUGAGGAAAUAAUUUUCCUAAUUCUCCUCCUCCUACUCCUAUGCCUUUCUUCUUCACACAAAUUGCUAUUAUUAAUCUCUCUUUCUCCUCUAUCCUCCCCUGCACCAUUGACCACAGUAAUAAAGCAAGCACAAAAUACAGCCAAAACCAACCCAUCCAACCCCAACCAGGGUCGAUCUCCACCUGACUUUGACUUGUAAAAGUUCUGAUCCUUCCUAAUAUACUUAACAGCAGUCA